This 302-nucleotide ribosomal RNA is filed under the name uncultured bacterium. RNAcentral describes it as "partial 16S ribosomal RNA". It matches the Rfam family "Bacterial small subunit ribosomal RNA", at positions 508 to 807 of the family's 1533-position model. The record is from RNAcentral.
GCAGUAGCCGCGGUAAUACGUAGGGUGCAAGCGUUAAUCGGAAUUACUGGGCGUAAAGCGUGCGCAGGCGGUUAUAUAAGACAGAUGUGAAAUCCCCGGGCUCAACCUGGGAACUGCAUUUGUGACUGUAUAGCUAGAGUACGGCAGAGGGGGAUGGAAUUCCGCGUGUAGCAGUGAAAUGCGUAGAUAUGCGGAGGAACACCGAUGGCGAAGGCAAUCCCCUGGGCCUGUACUGACGCUCAUGCACGAAAGCGUGGGGAGCAAACAGGAUUAGAUACCCGGGUAGUCCCUGUCUCUUAUAC